Molecule: long non-coding RNA, 1030 nt
Filed under: Strigops habroptila (Kakapo)
Lineage: Eukaryota; Metazoa; Chordata; Aves; Psittaciformes; Psittacidae
Description: lncRNA (ENSSHBG00005018417.1)
Source: RNAcentral
CCCCCCCCCGGCCCGGACCUCGCGGGACCCACAGAGACCCCCCGCAAAGGUCCAUCAGAGCAGCAGCGGAACCAGUUGGAGGAGCUGAGGAAAUUUGGGGCUCAGUUUAAGCUCCAGCCCAGCAGCGCCCCCCAGGACCCCCCCCCAGAGCCCCUCCCCCCACCCCGCAGCGGCCCCUCCCCCCCCGGAGCCCCCCCCGAGGCCCAAGGGGGGGGUGGGGGAGGGGCGGGGGGAGGGGCCGGGACCCCCCCGGGGACCCCCCAGGACAAGGACGAGCAGGUGAAGAAGUCGACGCUGAACCCCAACGCGAAGGAGUUCAACCCCUCGAAGCCCCUUUUGGGCGUGGGCAAAGCCGCUGCCCCCCCCUCGCCGGGGCCCCGCCUCCACCCCUCCCCCACGCUGGGGGUCAUGACCCCGCCGGGGGCGGGGCAAGGUGGGGGAGGGGCCGGAGGAGGAGGAGGAGGUGGGGGGGGAGGGGCGAGCAGCAUCUAUGCCCCUCCCCCUCCCUAUAUCUCCUAUAUACCCCAGCUCCAUGUGCAGGCCCCCCAAAUGUACCCGUACCCCGUGUCCACCCCCCCCCAAGGCAAAUACCGGGGAGGCAAAGGUUCCCUCCCCCCGCCGCCGCCGCGCUCGGAGCAGCCUCACGCCCCUCCCCCCCCAGCCCCUCCCCCGUCGGCAUCCGCCCCUCCUCCCCCUCCCCUGGUGCCUGUGGCCGCCCCUCCCCCCCCGCCCCCUCCCCCCCAUUACUCCCAGUACAUCUCGUACGGACCCCCCCAGGCCUUCGGGGGGGGGGCAGCCGCUCGUGCAGCCCCUCCCACACUACCCCUCGCAGGCUGUGUUCGCGCCGCUGCUCCCCGGCAGCCCCCGCCUGCACCCCUCCCCCACCCUGGUGUCCUCCGCCGCCCCUCCCCCGCCCCAGUUCCCUCCCGGCGACCAAUCAGGAGCCCCACAGACCCUGUACGCCGCUGUCCAUCAGCCCUUCCCCCCCCCGACGCCGGCCGGGAACCCGCCGCCCCCACCCCCCAGCCAG